AUGGAGACGGCGGGCCGAGGACCAGGAGGGCGGCAGUCGACGGGGGCGGAGGCCGGGUGGGCCUGGUCGUGGGCGUGCUGCGCCGUGGCAGCGUGCGUGGCGGCAGUGGGGCUGGCGGGCGCCGGCGUGCUGGUGUGGUGUGCGGUGGCGUUCCACCCGGCACGGGAGCAGCUCUGGAUGGUGCCCGUCGGGCUCGUCCUCCUCGGCACGCCGCUAGUCGCCUGGCUCUCCCUCUUCGCCUCCGGCGCAUGCCGC
RNAcentral lists this ribosomal RNA (255 nucleotides) under Triticum aestivum (bread wheat). RNAcentral describes it as "partial small subunit ribosomal RNA". The record is from RNAcentral. Lineage: Eukaryota; Viridiplantae; Streptophyta; Magnoliopsida; Poales; Poaceae.